Molecule: long non-coding RNA, 235 nt
Filed under: Chrysemys picta bellii (western painted turtle)
Lineage: Eukaryota; Metazoa; Chordata; Testudines; Emydidae
Description: lncRNA (ENSCPBG00000007857.1)
Source: RNAcentral
AAAGCAUUUUCCUUUGCUGAUCUCUAGCCCAAGGAUACAAAAAUCCUUCAGCUCUUCAUCACAAUCAUCUCUCCUUAUCUCUUGUUAAAGGUGUUGACCUUCAUCCAUGCUGAACUUACCCCCAGAAAUAGCUGUAUGCAGUGAUUCUGAGAUAAUCUGAAGGUAGGGAGUUCAUUGAUAAUAAUGAUCAAGCUUAUAUUUCUAAUAUAUAGCACUAUUCAUCAUGAAGAAUCCC